Molecule: transfer RNA, 67 nt
Filed under: Marmota marmota marmota (Alpine marmot)
Lineage: Eukaryota; Metazoa; Chordata; Mammalia; Rodentia; Sciuridae
Also listed under: 1 other name
Rfam family: tRNA
About the family: Transfer RNA (tRNA) molecules are approximately 80 nucleotides in length. Their secondary structure includes four short double-helical elements and three loops (D, anti-codon, and T loops).
Source: Rfam by way of RNAcentral
GGUAGUGGCUCAGUGGUAGAGCACUUGCCUAGCAUGUGGGAGGCACUGGGUUCAAUUCUCAGCACCA